RNAcentral lists this ribosomal RNA (491 nucleotides) under uncultured bacterium. RNAcentral describes it as "partial 16S ribosomal RNA". It matches the Rfam family "Bacterial small subunit ribosomal RNA", at positions 28 to 507 of the family's 1533-position model. The record is from RNAcentral.
GAUGAACGCUGGCUACAGGCUUAACACACGCAAGUCGAGGGGAAACGACGGGGAAGCUUGCUUCCCCGGGCGUCGACCGGCGCACGGGUGAGUAACGCGUAUCCAACCUGCCUCUGACUGAGGGAUAACCCGUCGAAAGUCGGCCUAAUACCUCAUGGUAUCGUCUGCGGGCAUCCAACGACGAUUAAAGAUUUCAUCGGUCAGGGAUGGGGAUGCGUCUGAUUAGCUUGUUGGCGGGGUAACGGCCCACCAAGGCUACGAUCAGUAGGGGUUCUGAGAGGAAGGUCCCCCACAUUGGAACCGAGACACGGUCCAAACUCCUACGGGAGGCAGCAGUGAGGAAUAUUGGUCAAAGGGCGAGAGCCUGAACCAGCCAAGUAGCGUGCAGGAAGACGGCCCUAUGGGUUGUAAACUGCUUUUAGGCGGGGAUAAAGUGAGGGACGUGUCCCUCAUUGCAGGUACCGCAUGAAUAAGGACCGGCUAAUUCCGUG